RNAcentral lists this ribosomal RNA (435 nucleotides) under uncultured bacterium. RNAcentral's name for it is "partial 16S ribosomal RNA". It matches the Rfam family "Bacterial small subunit ribosomal RNA", at positions 29 to 507 of the family's 1533-position model. The record is from RNAcentral.
AGCGAACGCUGGCGGCAGGCUUAACACAUGCAAGUCGAGCGGGCAUCUUCGGAUGUCAGCGGCAGACGGGUGAGUAACACGUGGGAACGUACCCUUCGGUUCGGAACAACUCUGGGAAACUGGAGCUAAUACCGGAUACGCCCUUAUGGGGAAAGGUUUACUGCCGAAGGAUCGGCCCGCGUCUGAUUAGCUAGUUGGUGGGGUAACGGCCUACCAAGGCGACGAUCAGUAGCUGGUCUGAGAGGAUGAUCAGCCACACUGGGACUGAGACACGGCCCAGACUCCUACGGGAGGCAGCAGUGGGGAAUAUUGGACAAUGGGUGCAAGCCUGAUCCAGCCAUGCCGCGUGAGUGAUGAAGGCCUUAGGGUUGUAAAGCUCUUUUGUCCGGGACGAUAAUGACGGUACCGGAAGAAUAAGCCCCGGCUAACUUCGUG